AUGGCUCAUUAAAUCAGUUAUUGUUUAUUUGAUAGUACCUUACUACUUGGAUAACCGUGGUAAUUCUAGAGCUAAUACAUGCUAAAAGCCCCGACUUCGGAAGGGGUGUAUUUAUUAAAUAAAAAACCAAUGCCCUUUGGGGCUCCUUGGUGAUUCACAAUAACUUAACGAAUCGCAUGGCCUUGUGCCGGCGAUGGUUCAUUCAAAUUUCUGCCCUAUCAACUUUCGAUGGUAGUGUAUUGGACUACCAUGGUUUCAACGGGUAACGGGGAAUUAGGGUUCUAUUCCGGAGAGGGAGCCUGAGAAACGGCUACCACAUCCAAGGAAGGCAGCAGGCGCGCAAAUUACCCAAUCCCGACACGGGGAGGUAGUGACAAUAAAUACUGAUACAGGGCUCUUUUGGGUCUUGUAAUUGGAAUGAGUACAAUUUAAAUCCCUUAACGAGGAACAAUUGGAGGGCAAGUCUGGUGCCAGCAGCCGCGGUAAUUCCAGCUCCAAUAGCGUAUAUUAAAGUUGUUGCAGUUAAAAAGCUCGUAGUUGAACCUUGGGCCUGGCUGGCCGGUCCGCCUCAUCGCGUGCACUGGUCCGGCCGGGCCUUUCCUCCUGGAGAGCCGCAUGCCCUUCGCUGGGUGUGUCGGGGAACCAGGACUUUUACUUUGAAAAAAUUAGAGUGUUCAAAGCAGGCCUAUGCUCGAAUACAUUAGCAUGGAAUAAUAGAAUAGGACGUGUGGUUCUAUUUUGUUGGUUUCUAGGACCGCCGUAAUGAUUAAUAGGGAUAGUCGGGGGCAUCAGUAUUCAAUUGUCAGAGGUGAAAUUCUUGGAUUUAUUGAAGACUAACUACUGCGAAAGCAUUUGCCAAGGAUGUUUUCAUUAAUCAAGAACGAAAGUUAGGGGAUCGAAGACGAUCAGAUACCGUCGUAGUCUUAACCAUAAACUAUGCCGACUAGGGAUCGGGCGAUGUUAUUUUUUGACUCGCUCGGCACCUUACGAGAAAUCAAAG
Molecule: ribosomal RNA, 1000 nt
Filed under: Podosphaera xanthii
Lineage: Eukaryota; Fungi; Ascomycota; Leotiomycetes; Helotiales; Erysiphaceae
Description: SSU rRNA
Rfam family: Eukaryotic small subunit ribosomal RNA
Source: RNAcentral